GCCACGGUGGUCUAGCGGUUAGAACGCUGGCCUUGUAAUCAUGAGGUCUCGGGUUCGAUUCCCGGCGGUGCCC
This 73-nucleotide transfer RNA is filed under the name Zootermopsis nevadensis. It matches the Rfam family "tRNA". Rfam says of the family: Transfer RNA (tRNA) molecules are approximately 80 nucleotides in length. Their secondary structure includes four short double-helical elements and three loops (D, anti-codon, and T loops). Further hydrogen bonds mediate the characteristic L-shaped molecular structure. tRNAs have two regions of fundamental functional importance: the anti-codon, which is responsible for specific mRNA codon recognition, and the 3' end, to which the tRNAs corresponding amino acid is attached (by aminoacyl-tRNA synthetases). tRNAs cope with the degeneracy of the genetic code in two manners: having more than one tRNA (with a specific anti-codon) for a particular amino acid; and 'wobble' base-pairing, i.e. permitting non-standard base-pairing at the 3rd anti-codon position. The record is from Rfam by way of RNAcentral. Lineage: Eukaryota; Metazoa; Arthropoda; Insecta; Blattodea; Termopsidae.